UUACCAACCCGAUGCAAACUGCGAAUACCGGAGAAUGUUAUCACGGGAGACACACGGCGGGUGCUAACGUCCGUCGUGAAGAGGGAAACAACCCAGACCGCCAGCUAAGGUCCCAAAGUCAUGGUUAAGUGGGAAACGAUGUGGGAAGGCCCAGACAGCCAGGAUGUUGGCUUAGAAGCAGCCAUCAUUUAAAGAAAGCGUAAUAGCUCACUGGUCGAGUCGGCCUGCGCGGAAGAUGUAACGGGGCUAAACCAUGCACCGAAGCUGCGGCAGCGACGCUUAUGCGUUGUUGGGUAGGGGAGCGUUCUGUAAGCCUGUGAAGGUGUGCUGUGAGGCAUGCUGGAGGUAUCAGAAGUGCGAAUGCUGACAUAAGUAACGAUAAAGCGGGUGAAAAGCCCGCUCGCCGGAAGACCAAGGGUUCCUGUCCAACGUUAAUCGGGGCAGGGUGAGUCGACCCCUAAGGCGAGGCCGAAAGGCGUAGUCGAUGGGAAACAGGUUAAUAUUCCUGUACUUGGUGUUACUGCGAAGGGG
Molecule: ribosomal RNA, 531 nt
Filed under: Escherichia coli
Lineage: Bacteria; Pseudomonadati; Pseudomonadota; Gammaproteobacteria; Enterobacterales; Enterobacteriaceae
Description: partial 23S ribosomal RNA
Rfam family: Bacterial large subunit ribosomal RNA
Source: RNAcentral